AGAGUUUGAUCAUGGCUCAGGACGAACGCUGGCGGCGUGCCUAAUACAUGCAAGUAGAACGCUGAAGAGAGGAGCUUGCUCUUCUUGGAUGAGUUGCGAACGGGUGAGUAACGCGUAGGUAACCUGCCUUGUAGCGGGGGAUAACUAUUGGAAACGAUAGCUAAUACCGCAUAACAAUGGAUGACACAUGUCAUUUAUUUGAAAGGGGUAAUUGCUCCACUACAAGAUGGACCUGCGUUGUAUUAGCUAGUAGGUGAGGUAACGGCUCACCUAGGCGACGAUACAUAGCCGACCUGAGAGGGUGAUCGGCCACACUGGGACUGAGACACGGCCCAGACUCCUACGAGGGGCAGCAGUAGGGAAUCUUCGGCAAUGGGGGCAACCCUGACCGAGCAACGCCGCGUGAGUGAAGAAGGUUUUCGGAUCGUAAAGCUCUGUUGUAAGUCAAGAACGAGUGUGAGAGUGGAAAGUUCACACUGUGACGGUAGCUUACCAGAAAGGGACGGCUAACUACGUGCCAGCAGCCGCGGUAAUACGUAGGUCCCGAGCGUUGUCCGGAUUUAUUGGGCGUAAAGCGAGCGCAGGCGGUUUGAUAAGUCUGAAGUUAAAGGCUGUGGCUCAACCAUAGUUCGCUUUGGAAACUGUCAAACUUGAGUGCAGAAGGGGAGAGUGGAAUUCCAUGUGUAGCGGUGAAAUGCGUAGAUAUAUGGAGGAACACCGGUGGCGAAAGCGGCUCUCUGGUCUGUAACUGACGCUGAGGCUCGAAAGCGUGGGGAGCGAACAGGAUUAGAUACCCUGGUAGUCCACGCCGUAAACGAUGAGUGCUAGGUGUUGGAUCCUUUCCGGGAUUCAGUGCCGCAGCUAACGCAUUAAGCACUCCGCCUGGGGAGUACGACCGCAAGGUUGAAACUCAAAGGAAUUGACGGGGGCCCGCACAAGCGGUGGAGCAUGUGGUUUAAUUCGAAGCAACGCGAAGAACCUUACCAGGUCUUGACAUCCCGAUGCUAUUUCUAGAGAUAGAAAGUUACUUCGGUACAUCGGUGACAGGUGGUGCAUGGUUGUCGUCAGCUCGUGUCGUGAGAUGUUGGGUUAAGUCCCGCAACGAGCGCAACCCCUAUUGUUAGUUGCCAUCAUUCAGUUGGGCACUCUAGCGAGACUGCCGGUAAUAAACCGGAGGAAGGUGGGGAUGACGUCAAAUCAUCAUGCCCCUUAUGACCUGGGCUACACACGUGCUACAAUGGUUGGUACAACGAGUCGCGAGUCGGUGACGGCAAGCUAAUCUCUUAAAGCCAAUCUCAGUUCGGAUUGUAGGCUGCAACUCGCCUACAUGAAGUCGGAAUCGCUAGUAAUCGCGGAUCAGCACGCCGCGGUGAAUACGUUCCCGGGCCUUGUACACACCGCCCGUCACACCACGAGAGUUUGUAACACCCGAAGUCUGUGAGGUAACCUUUUGGAGCCAGCCGCCUAAGGUGGGAUAGAUGAUUGGGGUGAAGUCGUAACAAGGUA
This 1506-nucleotide ribosomal RNA is filed under the name metagenome. Its description in RNAcentral is "bacterial SSU rRNA". It matches the Rfam family "Bacterial small subunit ribosomal RNA". The record is from RNAcentral.